GGGGAAUAUUGGACAAUGGGCGAAAGCCUGAUCCAGCAAUGCCGCGUGAGUGAUGAAGGCCUUAGGGUUGUAAAGCUCUUUUACCCGGGAUGAUAAUGACAGUACCGGGAGAAUAAGCCCCGGCUAACUCCGUGCCAGCAGCCGCGGUAAUACGGAGGGGGCUAGCGUUGUUCGGAAUUACUGGGCGUAAAGGGCGCGUAGGCGGCCCUCUAAGUCAGACGUGAAAUCCCUCGGCUCAACCGGGGAACUGCGUCUGAGACUGAAAGGCUUGAAUUCGGGAGAGGGAUGUGGAAUUCCAGGUGUAGCGGUGAAAUGCGUAGAUAUCUGGAGGAACACCGGUGGCGAAGGCGGCAUCCUGGACCGAGAUUGACGCUGAUGCGCGAAAGCCAGGGGAGCAAA
Molecule: ribosomal RNA, 399 nt
Filed under: uncultured bacterium
Lineage: Bacteria
Description: bacterial SSU rRNA
Rfam family: Bacterial small subunit ribosomal RNA
Source: RNAcentral